UACGUAGGUGACCAGCGUUGUCCGGAUUUACUGGGCGUAAAGAGCGCGCAGGCGGUCGUUCAAGUCGAGUGUGAAAGCCCCCGGCUCAACUGGGGAGGGUCACUCGAUACUGAUCGACUUGAAGGCAGGAGAGGGAAGCGGAAUUCCCGGUGUAGUGGUGAAAUGCGUAGAUAUCGGGAGGAACACCAGUGGCGAAGGCGGCUUCCUGGCCUGUUCUUGACGCUGAGGCACGAAGGUCAGGGGAGCAAACGGG
RNAcentral lists this ribosomal RNA (253 nucleotides) under uncultured bacterium. Its description in RNAcentral is "partial 16S ribosomal RNA". It matches the Rfam family "Bacterial small subunit ribosomal RNA", at positions 524 to 776 of the family's 1533-position model. The record is from RNAcentral.